AGGAGAGGUAUUGAAAAUUGGUGUAUGUAAAUAAUACUAAUUUAAGGAUUAAAUUAAUCAAAGAAAUGGUUAAUAAUUAAUAUAUUAAAUAGAUAAAAAGAUAAAAAAGUAUCAAUCUAAAUAUGAAAAUAAGAGAAUAAGAAUUAAGUGAAUUGAAACAUCUAAGUAACUUAAUAAAGAAAUCAACAGAGAUAAUAAGUGUAGCGGUGAGUGAAAUUAUUAAAAUCUAAAAGUAAUAUCAAGAGAUAUGAAUAAAGUAGUACCAACUACUAAGAUAAAAAAUAAUAUAUUAAAUAAAAGUACUGUAAAGGAAAAAAAAGAAAUAGAUUAGUAGAGAGCAGUUAUAGAGAUAACGUACCUUUUGUAUAAUGGGCCAGUGAGUUAUUUAUAUUAGUGAAAUAGAAAAAUUAAAAUAAAAAUGAAAAAUAAAAAUAAAAUUAAUAUAAAUAGGCCCGAAAGCAGACGAUCUAAAUAUAUCCAAGUAUAUAUAUAUGUUUUAUUAUAUAAUUGAGAAAAUCAAGAAAUAAAUAAAUAAAUCUAAAAUAUAGAUAAUAUAUAUAUGACUCAAUAGGUAAUUGUAGCAAUAAUUUCUAAAGAGAUGUGUUUAGCAGUGACAGACAAAUCUGGUUUGCCGAUAGCUGGUUUUCUACGAAAUAUAUUUUAGUAUAGCCUUUAUUAAAUCUUUAAACUGGUACAGCACUUAAAUAACUUUGGGGAAUUCAAAAAAAUUUUAUCAAAAUAUUUAAACCUCGAAAUCAGUAUAUAAGUUAAAUAAAGAGUCAGACUUAUUGCGAUAAGGUAGUAAGUCGAGAAGGAAACAACCUAGACUAUUAAAUAAAAGUCCCAAAUGAUUAGUUAAGUGAACAUAAUCUAUCUUAUAUAUAUUUAUUAUAUCAUAAUAUGAAAAUAAUAAAUAUAUUUAUUAAUUCUUUGUAAAAAAAGAGAAAUAUAAAUUAAAUUAUAGACAAUUAGUUAGUGGGUUUGACAAUAAUCACCUUAUAAAGAACAUGUAACAAUGCACUAAUUUGAUAUAUAUAUAUCAAUUUGAUAUAUUAUUUAUUAAUAAUAGAGAUAAUAUACGGGUCUAAACUAAUAACUUAAUUAUAGAUAUUUAAAAUAAAUACAAAAGUAUUUAAUAAAAAUAUGGUAGUAGAAUAUAUAAUGAAAAAUUAUAAAGAUAUUGCUGGCUUGAGUAACGAUAGGUAAAAUAAAUUUACCCUCUUAUAUAUAAGGUUUAACUAUAAAUGAACGGUCUCUAAAAUAGAAAUAGAAAUAUAAAUAUUGAUGAGAAAAAAUACAUGUAAAUAUACAAUAAACCGUACUGUAAACCGACACAGGUAUAUUAAAAGGAGAAUGAGAUAACUACUCUGAAUGAACUCGGCAAAUGCUAUAAAUCAGCUAAAUCGUGCGACUGUUUACCAAAAACAUAGCUUAUUGCAUAUUAGUAAUAAUAAGUAUAAUAAGUGAUAUCUGUCCAGUGUUUAUUAGAUAAAUAAGUUUAAAAUCUUUAUAAUUAAUAAAUAAACGACGGUCUUAUUGUGAGGAUCCAAAGGUAGCGAAAUUCAUUGACGUAUAAUUGACGUCCUGCAUGAAUGAAUAAACGAUGCGAUGACUGUAUCCAGAGUAGACUCAGUGAAAUAGCAAUUGCGGUGAAGAUUAAGUACUUAUGUUAUUAAUUAUAAUAACAUAUCUAAUACAAUGUAUUAGAAUAAAAUAUAUAUAUAUAUUUUAUAUCGCCGGGUUGGUUAAAAUCCAACUUUAUAGUUAAAUUAUAUAUAAUUUUAUAUUAAUAAAUAUUUAUUCUUAACUUUAAAGGAUUUAUCUGCAUCAAUAAAUGUAGAUCCUAGAAGAUUAAGUAGAUUAUUAAAUAAAAAUAGUGAUAUUAUAUUUAAUAAUUACCAAGUUAAAAGAAUAAGUAUAUAUAAUAAUAUAAAUUAUAAUUGAUCCCCUUCGGGGAUUAAUCAUCCCCCUCCACCAAAGGUGGAGGGGGGGGGGAUAAUUUAAAUAAAUUUUAAUUAAGAAUACAAUCGAAGAAAUUUAUAAACUAUAAAUAAAAAGGUGAAAACGGUCAAUGACAUCUUAGUUAAAGACCGUCGGCAGUUGUAUAUGUCGCUACAGACUGGUUCACCGAGGUUAGACUGAAAUGUCUGUCUAAAUGUACAGUCGAAUUUUGUAAUAUAUUUUUCAUUAAAUGAUAUGAAUAUAUAUAAAGGAGAAAGAUAUUUUUAAAAAAUAAAAAGCUUAAUUAGUACUUAAGUAAGAAUCCUUUGUAGGGCAAGCCUACUUUAGUUAAUCAAAAUUGGAAGAUGCCGUAUACCCGUAGGUUGACAAAAAGACCCUAUGCAGCUUUACUAUAUCUUUAUAUUGACUUUAAAUAAUAUAUAUAUAUAUUAUUCUUAAUCUAUCUAUUACAGUAUAAUAGGUUAAAUUUAUAAUCUUUUUUAUUAAAAAAGAUGAUUUAAAUAAAAUGAGAUACCUAUGCAGAUAGCAUUAAAGAGUCUAAUUUUAAAAUUUAUAAUGAAAUUAUAAUACUGGCUAUGCUGGAAAUAAAAGACCGUAUAAAGAGGUUAGUUUCGAUGGGGCGUCGACAUCAGCGAAAGCAUCUGAUGUGUCUAAAUAUAAUAAUUAUAUUAAUAUAUUAUAUAUAUAAUAGAAUAUACGUACAAUUAAUCUAUAUGGUAAAUAGAAUAAACCUAAUAAAAAGGUAAAAAAGGAUAACAACAUAAUUGUGCGAUGAUAGAAAUACAAACAAGUAGAUCUAGUACUUAAGUAGAGUGUAGUGAACAGGCAUAAACAAAUGGUAUGGAUGUCGAUAACGGAUUAACUGCGUGAGAGUUGAUAUCGUCAGCAGUGUUUGCCACCUCGAUGUCGUCUAGACUCGUCCUCCUGGUAGUAGUCACUAGGUAGGGUAGGACUGUUCGUCCUCUAAGGAGUUACUUGAGAUGGGUUAAUUACGACGUGAGUCAGUAAUGAUUUUAUCAUCUAUGGGUUUUAACUUAUCUAUUGCCUUAAGUGUACGCAAGGAUAAUAAGGUAUAUUCCUAUGAUUAUAAUUAUAUAAUUAUAAAAUAAUAUAUAAUUUUAGUUAAGAAUAUUAAGUUUACAUAUUGAAUGCAUAUCAAAUAUUAAAUCAUUUAGAUAAGUUAUUAACAUUAUAGACUAUAAUGUUAUAGUAUUAUUAUUAAAAAAAAUAAAUAAUAAACUAAUUAAUUCCGCAUAGCGGUAUUUAUCAUCUCCUUUCGGAGAUGAUAAAAUAAAAAUACAUACACCU
This 3270-nucleotide ribosomal RNA is filed under the name Metschnikowia drosophilae. Its description in RNAcentral is "large subunit ribosomal RNA". The stretch from base 337 to 1641 matches the Rfam family "Bacterial large subunit ribosomal RNA", at positions 569 to 2044 of the family's 2925-position model. Lineage: Eukaryota; Fungi; Ascomycota; Pichiomycetes; Serinales; Metschnikowiaceae. The record is from RNAcentral.